RNAcentral lists this ribosomal RNA (253 nucleotides) under uncultured bacterium. RNAcentral's name for it is "partial 16S ribosomal RNA". It matches the Rfam family "Bacterial small subunit ribosomal RNA", at positions 524 to 776 of the family's 1533-position model. The record is from RNAcentral.
UACGGAGGGUGCAAGCGUUAUCCGGAUUCAUUGGGUUUAAAGGGUGCGUAGGCGGGAUGAUAAGUCAGUGGUGAAAUCCUACAGCUUAACUGUAGAACUGCCAUUGAUACUGUCAACCUUGAGUACAUUUGAAGUGGGCGGAAUGUGUCAUGUAGCGGUGAAAUGCUUAGAGAUGACACAGAACACCGAUAGCGAAGGCAGCUCACUAAACUGUAACUGACGCUGAGGCACGAAAGCGUGGGGAUCAAACAGG